RNAcentral lists this ribosomal RNA (264 nucleotides) under uncultured Planctomycetota bacterium. RNAcentral describes it as "uncultured planctomycete partial 16S ribosomal RNA". It matches the Rfam family "Bacterial small subunit ribosomal RNA", at positions 565 to 827 of the family's 1533-position model. The record is from RNAcentral. Lineage: Bacteria; Pseudomonadati; Planctomycetota.
GAGCACGUAGGUGGGUUUGUAAGUCAGGUGUGAGAGCCUUCUGUUCAAAGGAAGAACGGCAUCUGAAACUGCGAAUCUUGAGUGUAGGAGGGGAGAGUGGAACUUCUGGUGGAGCGGUGAAAUGCGUAGAUAUCAGAAGGAACGUCGGCGGCGAAAGCGACUCUCUGGCCUAUUACUGACACUGAGUGUGCGAAAGUUAGGGGAGCAAACGGGAUUAGAUACCCCGGUAGUCCUAACCGUAAACGAUGGGCACUAAGUAGAGGG